Molecule: long non-coding RNA, 707 nt
Filed under: Nicotiana benthamiana
Lineage: Eukaryota; Viridiplantae; Streptophyta; Magnoliopsida; Solanales; Solanaceae
Description: long non-coding RNA (NBEN_LNC038711)
Source: RNAcentral
UAAAUUAGGAGGGGACUAGUAGAGUCCGCUGGGGAGGUAUUAGUAUUCGUAUUAUCAGCCAUGAAUAAUGAACAAACUUAACAACACAGAAAUAAUUUCAAUGAAUAGACCACAAUCAAACUAGUACUGGCAUGCAACAUAUACAACACUUAGAACAGAGAAAGUGUUACCCUCUUCUUCGCGACCGGAUAAGAACGGCCUUCAACCACCGGAUGAAACUAAGCACGGUCACCGGAAAUUGCAGAUAAACAGAAACUCACCAGAAUCAGGUCACAAACGUCGGAAACUUACCCAAAAUGUCUAUCGACCGAAGGUAAAAUCAUCGGAUAACAUUAAAACCCUUGGUCCAAAAGUCGGAAAACCCUAGAUUUUGAAGAACUCACUGGAAUAAGACCAGAGAUGUCGGAAAAUCACUCAAAAUAUCUACUGAUACAUGAUCGGAGCCUCAAACAGUCAGAAAAGUCCCGAUUAUCCGAUUAACAUUCAUCGAAAAAUAUACGAACAGUAUUUUUCUCAGAUAACCGAAGAAAAUCAGCAAGUAUCGACAACACAUAACAGAGAAGGAUCGGAAGAUUUUCCGGCUCUGAUAGCAUGAAAACAUGAAGAUUAAGCUGAAGAACGCGAAGAAUAUAGUGAGAAAAGAAGAGAGAGAAAGAGGGUAGUUGAGAGAACUCUCCAGAAGUUCGAGAGAGUGUCUUAGAAAAAUG